CGCUGGCGGCGUGCUAAUACAUGCAGUCGAACGAGAAGCGCUGUGUUACAUGGCGUGGACAGUGGCGUCCGGGUGAGUAACACGUAGCUGACCUGCCCUCCGCGGGGGAUACACCGGGAAACCGGUGCUAAUACCGCGUACGCUCAGCGGGGUUAGAGGCCCGUUGAGGAAAGCUCUGGCGGCGGAGGAGGGGGCUGCGGUCCAUCAGCUAGCUGGUGCGGUAAAGGCGCACCAGGGCGACGACGGAUAGGGGACCUGAGAGGGUGACCCCCCACACUGGUACUGACACACGGACCAGACUCCUACGGGAGGCAGCAGUAAGGAAUAUUGCGCAAUGGAGGAAACUCUGACGCAGCAACGCCGCGUGCGGGAUGAAGGUCUUCGGAUCGUAAACCGCUUUUACGGGGGAAGAUAAUGACGGUACCCCGUGAAUAAGUCUCGGCUAACUACGUGCCAGCAGCCGCGGUAAAACGUAGGAGGCAAGCGUUAUCCGGAUUUACUGGGCGUAAAGCGCGUGCAGGCGGUGGUUUAAGUCGUGCGUGAAAGCUCCCUGGCUCAACCGGGAGAGGUCGUGCGAAACUGGAUCACUGGAGGCAGGUAGAGGCAGACGGAAUUCCGGGUGUAGUGGUGAAAUGCGUAGAUAUCCGGAGGAACACCAGUGGCGAAGGCGGUCUGCUGGACCUGACCUGACGCUCAGACGCGAAAGCGUGGGUAGCGAACGGGAUUAGAAACCCCGGUAGUCCAUGCUGUAAACGAUGCUGACUGGGCGUUGGCUCCGUCAAGGAGUCAGUGCCGAAGCUAACGCGUUAAGUCAGCCGCCUGGGGACUACGGCCGCAAGGCUAAAACUCAAAGGAAUUGACGGGGGCCCGCACAAGCAGCGGAGCGUGUGGUUUAAUUCGAGGCUACACGAAGAACCUUACCUGGGCUUGACAUAUGGGUGGUAGGGAACCGAAAGGGGACCGACCUUCGGGAGCCCAUACAGGUGCUGCAUGGCUGUCGUCAGCUCGUGUCGUGAGAUGUUCGGUUAAGUCCGGUAACGAGCGCUACCCCUGGUGUCAGUUAUAAGUGUCUGGCACGACUGCCCGGCUAAACUGGGAGGAAGGUGGGGAUGACGUCAAGUCAGCAUGGCCU
RNAcentral lists this ribosomal RNA (1132 nucleotides) under uncultured organism. Its description in RNAcentral is "bacterial SSU rRNA". It matches the Rfam family "Bacterial small subunit ribosomal RNA", at positions 34 to 1201 of the family's 1533-position model. The record is from RNAcentral.